CAGGUGAAACCUUUAAAGGGGUUUACACUGUGCAACCUUUACCCCUUCAAACUAGAUUUUCCGCUUGGAUCCUUAAGGGACCGAGACGGGAUU
Regulatory RNA element from Thermanaeromonas toyohensis ToBE, 93 nucleotides. It matches the Rfam family "pan motif". NCBI's taxonomy places the organism in Bacteria, Bacillati, Bacillota, Clostridia, Neomoorellales, Neomoorellaceae. The record is from Rfam.